RNAcentral lists this ribosomal RNA (305 nucleotides) under uncultured bacterium. Its description in RNAcentral is "bacterial SSU rRNA". It matches the Rfam family "Bacterial small subunit ribosomal RNA", at positions 337 to 639 of the family's 1533-position model. The record is from RNAcentral.
UCCUACGGGGGGCAGCAGUGAGGAAUAUUGGUCAAUGGACGAGAGUCUGAACCCGCCAAGUCGCGUGAAGGAUGACUGCCCUAUGGGUUGUAAACUUCUUUUAUAUGGGAAUAAAAUGUUCCACGUGUGUGAUUUUGUAUGUACCAUAUGACUAAGGAUCGGCUAACUCCGUGCCAGCAGCCGCGGUAAUACGGAGGAUCCGAGCGUUCUCCGGAUUUAUUGGGUUUACAGUGAGCGUAGGUGGAUUGUUACGUCAGUUGUGGAAGUUUGCGGCUCAACCGUAAAAUUGCAGUUGAAACUGGCAG